This 497-nucleotide ribosomal RNA is filed under the name uncultured bacterium. Its description in RNAcentral is "partial 16S ribosomal RNA". It matches the Rfam family "Bacterial small subunit ribosomal RNA", at positions 27 to 507 of the family's 1533-position model. The record is from RNAcentral.
GGGGGGGGGGGGGGGGGGGGGGGGGGGGGGGAGGGCGGGCGGGCGGGCGAGGAGCUUGCUCCUCUGACGUUAGCGGCGGACGGGGGAGUAACACGUGGAUAAGCUACCUAUAAGACUGGGAUAACUUCGGGAAACCGGAGCUAAUACCGGAUAAUAUAUUGAACCGCAUGGUUCAAUAGUGAAAGACGGUUUUGCUGUCACUUAUAGAUGGAUCCGCGCCGCAUUAGCUAGUUGGUAAGGUAACGGCUUACCAAGGCAACGAUGCGUAGCCGACCUGAGAGGGUGAUCGGCCACACGGGAACUGAGACACGGUCCAGACUCCUACGGGAGGCAGCAGUAGGGAAUCUUCCGCAAUGGGCGAAAGCCUGACGGAGCAACGCCGCGUGAGUGAUGAAGGUCUUCGGAUCGUAAAACUCUGUUAUUAGGGAAGAACAAAUGUGUAAGUAACUAUGCACGUCUUGACGGUACCUAAUCAGAAAGCCACGGCUAACUACGUG